UGUGACCUCAAAUCAGGCAGGACUACCCGCUGAACUUAAGCAUAUCAAUAAGCGGAGGAAAAGAAACUAACAAGGAUUCCCCUAGUAACUGCGAGUGAAGCGGGAAAAGCUCAAAUUUAAAAUCUGGCAGUCUUAUGGCUGUCCGAGUUGUAAUCUAGAGAAGUGUUAUCCGCGCUGGACCGUGUACAAGUCUCCUGGAAUGGAGCAUCAUAGAGGGUGAGAAUCCCGUCUUUGACAUGGACUACCAGGGCUUUGUGAUGCGCUCUCAAAGAGUCGAGUUGUUUGGGAAUGCAGCUCAAAAUGGGUGGUAAAUUCCAUCUAAAGCUAAAUAUUGGCGAGAGACCGAUAGCGAACAAGUACCGUGAGGGAAAGAUGAAAAGAACUUUGGAAAGAGAGUUAAACAGUACGUGAAAUUGCUGAAAGGGAAACGCUUGAAGUCAGUCGCGUCAUCCAGGGAUCAACCUUGCUUUUGCUUGGUGCACUUUCUGGUUUGAUGGGUCAGCAUCAAUUUUGACCAUUGGAAAAAGGCUGAGGGAAUGUGGCAUCUUUGGAUGUGUUAUAGCCCUUGGUCACAUACAAUGGUUGGGAUUGAGGAACUCAGCACGCCGAAAGGUCGGG
RNAcentral lists this ribosomal RNA (618 nucleotides) under Cortinarius aff. angelesianus UBC F17121 OC49. Its description in RNAcentral is "eukaryotic LSU rRNA". It matches the Rfam family "Eukaryotic large subunit ribosomal RNA", at positions 1 to 622 of the family's 3401-position model. Lineage: Eukaryota; Fungi; Basidiomycota; Agaricomycetes; Agaricales; Cortinariaceae. The record is from RNAcentral.